This 497-nucleotide ribosomal RNA is filed under the name uncultured bacterium. RNAcentral describes it as "partial 16S ribosomal RNA". It matches the Rfam family "Bacterial small subunit ribosomal RNA", at positions 28 to 507 of the family's 1533-position model. The record is from RNAcentral.
GAUGAACGCUGGCGGCGUGCCUAAUACAUGCAAGUCGAGCGAACAGACGAGAAGCUUUCUUCUCUGACGUUAGCGGCGGACAGGUGAGUAACACGUGGAUAACCUACCUAUAAGGCUGGGAUAACUUCGGGAAACCGGAGCUAAUACCGGAUUAUAUUUUGAACCGCAUGGUUCAAUAGUGAAAGACGGUUUUGCUUUCACUUAUAGAUGGAUCCGCGCUGCAUUAGCUAGUUGGUAAGGUAACGGCUUACCAAGGCAACGAUGCAUAGCCGACCUGAGAGGGUGAUCGGCCACACUGGAACUGAGACACGGUCCAGACUCCUACGGGAGGCAGCAGUAGGGAAUCUUCCGCAAUGGGCGAAAGCCUGACGGAGCAACGCCGCGUGAGUGAUGAAGGUCUUCGGAUCGUAAAACUCUGUUAUUAGGGAAGAACAAAUGUGUAAGUAACUAUGCACAUCUUGACGGUACCUAAUCAGAAAGCCACGGCUAACUACGUG